GUAGGUGGCAAGCGUUGUCCGGAAUUAUUGGGCGUAAAGCGCGCGCAGGCGGUUCUUUAAGUCUGAUGUGAAAGCCCACGGCUCAACCGUGGAGGGUCAUUGGAAACUGGAGAACUUGAGUACAGAAGAGGAAAACGGAAUUCCACGUGUAGCGGUGAAAUGCGUAGAGAUGUGGAGGAACACCAGUGGCGAAGGCGGCUUUCUGGUCUGUAACUGACGCUGAGGCGCGAAAGCGUGGGGAGCAAACAGGGAUUAGAUACCCUGGUAGUCCACGCCGUAAACGAUGAGUGCUAAGUGUUAGGGGGUUUCCCGCCCCUUAGUGCUGCAGCUAACGCAUUAAGCACUCCGCCUGGGGGAUACGGCCGCAAGGCUG
RNAcentral lists this ribosomal RNA (373 nucleotides) under uncultured organism. RNAcentral describes it as "partial 16S ribosomal RNA". It matches the Rfam family "Bacterial small subunit ribosomal RNA", at positions 527 to 896 of the family's 1533-position model. The record is from RNAcentral.